AAAGUCACUUGAUGUUUUUAUGUUUUUCAUAUGUACCUUUGUUUAAACAACAUUAAUUCCUCGAUUUCCUCGAUGGAAAUUAAUAUUAAAAAUGCUUUUCACAAAGCUGUUAAAAUCACAUUCGAACCUUGUUCGUCAAUUUAUACUGCAGUUACAAAGUCAAUCCAAAAUGAAAUCAUUAAAAUCACUUACAACUUGCUUGUAAGACCAGAACUUACAACUUUUAUGACUUUUUUUAUAAUGAUUGCCUUGACAUGUAGUCUAACGAUAUUUUUGAUUGUUUAUUUUGGGAUCAUAUGUUUUAUAGUGAGUGUUAUCAUGUUUGAAGGUCUGCUUGUUUCAAUCGUCAUCCUCAUCAUUUUGAACGGGACGUUUAUUACUAUUUUAAUAUCAGCAGUGAUUUUCAAAUUAAAAAAUAAUAAAUAUAAUAAUUAGUUAGCUAAGUAGUUAUUUAAGUUAUAAAAGUGAUUAUAAAUCCCAUAUGUACAUAUUAUCUACGUAGUAGAAUAGCAAUGGACUUAAUUUUAUAAUCUUGUAAUCGUACAAAAUUAUUAAAAUAAGUGUUCAGUUUAAUAAAUGAUAUAAAAAACUAUGCUAGGUAGUUAGA
This is a long non-coding RNA of Maniola jurtina (meadow brown), 607 nucleotides long. RefSeq lists it as uncharacterized. The record is from RefSeq and is a predicted model, not a curated record. The transcript has 3 exons. NCBI's taxonomy places the organism in Eukaryota, Metazoa, Arthropoda, Insecta, Lepidoptera, Nymphalidae.